GGGCUCUUGGCGCAACGGUAGCGCGCCUGCAUGGCAUGCAGGAGGUUGCGGGUUCAAAAUGCGCAAAAUGCA
This 72-nucleotide transfer RNA is filed under the name Candidatus Micrarchaeum acidiphilum ARMAN-2. It matches the Rfam family "tRNA". From Rfam's summary of the family: Transfer RNA (tRNA) molecules are approximately 80 nucleotides in length. Their secondary structure includes four short double-helical elements and three loops (D, anti-codon, and T loops). Lineage: Archaea; Nanobdellati; Microcaldota; Candidatus Micrarchaeia; Candidatus Micrarchaeales; Candidatus Micrarchaeaceae. The record is from Rfam by way of RNAcentral.